This is a long non-coding RNA of Dendroctonus ponderosae (mountain pine beetle), 571 nucleotides long. RefSeq lists it as uncharacterized. The record is from RefSeq and is a predicted model, not a curated record. The transcript has 3 exons. Lineage: Eukaryota; Metazoa; Arthropoda; Insecta; Coleoptera; Curculionidae.
GAUCCUGGGCCCCGUACAGGUCCGGACUGCCCACAUUCAGCAGGCACACUCUUUGCUCUAUAUCUACUAUCACAAGGCCGGCCUCGUUUCCCCCAUAAGAACUAUUUAUGGUUAAAGCGGUAAUGUGACUCGGUGGUUCGCCGUUGUUCCACGGCGUCAGACAAACUAGUUGCGCUUGAAAUCCUGCAGGCUUCUUCUGAGCGCCAGUCCGCACUUUCAAGGUGCAACCUUCCUGAAAGCGCCAGUAAACUUUAUUAGCUGAUUUCCAGCCUCGGCAGGACGCACCCUUUUGUUCUCCAAAUCCAGCAGAUCCAGCUUGUUGCCGGAGCCGGCGCUGCCUGGUCCAGAAAACUGGCAAUCUGGCGAUAUUUCGUCUUCAAUCACUUCGUAUACUAUGGGGAUUUCCAAUACCAUCACCUAGAAGGACUGAUGGGUUAGCCUCCAACCAGCAGGGGGGAAAAGAAGGACGCAGUUUCCCCACCCGGUGAAGAGCAUCACAUGACUGGAGGCUCCAGCAACGCACAGUUUCCUCGACUCCGGACACAGUGAGAUCAAAUUGAUGGCAAACGGA